RNAcentral lists this transfer-messenger RNA (370 nucleotides) under Clavibacter michiganensis. It matches the Rfam family "transfer-messenger RNA". Rfam says of the family: Bacterial tmRNA, also known as 10Sa RNA or SsrA, is named for its dual tRNA and mRNA-like properties. Its role is to liberate the mRNA from a stalled ribosome. To accomplish this part of the tmRNA is used as a reading frame that ends in a translation stop signal. Lineage: Bacteria; Bacillati; Actinomycetota; Actinomycetes; Micrococcales; Microbacteriaceae. The record is from RNAcentral.
GGGGAUGAUCGGUUUCGACGUCGUCAGCAGAGUCACGAGAAGCGGGUCGAGAAAGCGGAGUCAACUCGAAAAUGUCCUCCGCGCAACAUAGGUGCCGAACUUAAGCGCACUGAUCACGUUCUCGCCGCUUAGGCGAAGCAUCACGUGAUCCGCCGUUCUAGCAAUUGCCUCUAGCUAGCACCGGCGUCAUAAAGGGGAAUAGCCGUGUAGAUACGCCUUGUGGCUACAUGGGUCACCAAGCAAGGCUGGGCUUGUCGACCGCAGGUGCCCUGACCAGGGUCGGAGCCGAGUAAAGCGAUUUAGGGAUACACUCGUAGAAGGCGUAACAGUGCAACGGCGGACCGGGGUUCGAUUCCCCGCAUCUCCACAC